GGAAGUAAAAGUCAUAACAAGGUCUCCGUAGGUGAACCUGCGGAGGGAUCAUUACAGAGUUCAUGCCCUACCGGGUAGAUCUCCCACCCUAUGUUAUUAUUACUUUGUUGCUUUGGCGGGCCGUUAGGCUCCGGCCCGACUACCGGCCCCGGCUGGUAAGCGCCCGCCAGAGGACCCAAAACCCUGAAUAUUAGUGUCGUCUGAGUACUAUAUAAUAGUUAAAACUCUCAACAACGGAUCUCUUGGUUCUG
This 251-nucleotide unclassified non-coding RNA is filed under the name plant metagenome. RNAcentral's name for it is "partial contains small subunit ribosomal RNA, internal transcribed spacer 1, and 5.8S ribosomal RNA". The stretch from base 1 to 54 matches the Rfam family "Eukaryotic small subunit ribosomal RNA", at positions 1778 to 1831 of the family's 1831-position model. The record is from RNAcentral.